GACGUAGGGGACGAGCGUUGUCCGGAUUCAUUGGGCGUAAAGCGCGCGUAGGCGGCCGUGCAAGUCGGUUGUGAAAUCCCGGGGCUCAACCCCGGGACUGCGUCCGAUACUGCACGGCUCGAGGCAGGUAGGGGAGAGUGGAAUUCCCGGUGUAGCGGUGAAAUGCGUAGAUAUCGAGAGGAACACCUGCGGCGAAGGCGGGUAGCUGGGCCGACACUGACGCUGAGGCGCGAAAGCCAGGGGAGCGAACGGG
Molecule: ribosomal RNA, 253 nt
Filed under: uncultured bacterium
Lineage: Bacteria
Description: partial 16S ribosomal RNA
Rfam family: Bacterial small subunit ribosomal RNA
Source: RNAcentral